CCGCCAUCGGACAGCAGUGAAACAUACGGCAGUUCAAUUUGAACUACCUCCGAAGCUGAAGAAAAGUGUAGUGGUCGACGAUCAAUCACUACGCCUCAACUGCAUAAUAGCAUCUGCCACUAUCGCGCCAUGGACAACAGAAACGUCGUCGUCUGUGACAAUGGCACUGGGUAUGUCAAGUGUGGAUUUGCUGGAGAGAAUUUUCCCACCUCUGUAUUCCCUUGUGUGGUGGGGAGGCCUAUGCUACGGUAUGAAGAAUCUCUCAUGGAAGAACAGUUGAAGGAUAUUGCAGUUGGAGAAGCUUGCGCUGACUUGAGGCAUCAACUGGAUAUAUCUUAUCCUGUUAACAAUGGAAUAAUUCAGAACUGGGAUGACAUGGGUCAUGUGUGGGACCAUGCAUUUUUCAAUGAACUUAAAAUAGACCCAACAGAAUGUAAGAUUUUACUCACAGACCCACCUCUUAAUCCCUCAAAGAAUCGUGAAAAAAUGGUUGAGACCAUGUUUGAGAAAUACAACUUUGCCGGUGUCUUCAUUCAAAUCCAGGCUGUUUUAACGUUGUAUGCCCAAGGUGCUUGUGGAGAUGAUUGAAGGUUUAUAUUUUAUUGAUUGGCAUAUCAUAUUUAGUAGUGUGAUGGAGAGUUGGAGAACUGCCUUUUGAAUCAUGGAAAUCACUGAUGCUAAUUUUUUGCCUUUGAAAAUGGUUAAAUUGCUGUUGCUUCUGCUGCUAUUGCUCAACUACAACAUUGCUUGUUUAUUUGUCCUUCUAGUUGCACGUGUGCUUAAGCAUUACUUUUAUUUCUUACAGGUUUACUGACGGGAUUGGUCAUCGACUCCGGGGAUGGUGUCACUCAUGUGGUCCCUGUUGUUGAUGGCUACUCAUUUCCUCAUCUGACUAAGCGAAUGAAUGUAGCUGGUCGGCACAUUACUUCCUAUCUUGUUGAUUUACUUUCACGGAGAGGGUAUGCAAUGAAUAGGACUGCUGAUUUUGAGACUGUAAGGGAAAUCAAAGAAAAACUAUGCUAUAUAAGUUAUGAUUACAAAAGGGAGUAUCAAUUGGGACUUGAGACCACAAUCCUUGUUAAGAAUUACACUCUUCCAGAUGGAAGGGUGAUAAAAGUAGGCACUGAGCGGUUCCAGGCACCUGAGGCUCUUUUUACACCAGAACUUAUAGAUGUUGAAGGUGAUGGAAUGGCUGAUAUGGUUUUUCGCUGCAUCCAGGAAAUGGAUAUUGACAACCGAAUGAUGGUAAUAGGACUGUUUGUUAACGCUUUACUUCAUGUGCAUAUUCUUGAAUUUAAAGUUUUUGCAUCCUAAUUUUUUGGGUUUUUUUUUUGGUACGUUUGGCUUCCAAUUGGGGUUUGAACUCAAGGCCUCACUGUCUUGAAGACAACUCGAGUACCAUUGAGCUAAAGUUCAUUGUUAUUUAUUUUUAUUUUAUUUAUUUAUUUUGGUUUUUUGGUGAGGAUGCAGAAAUUCUUUUCUGUUGUAGAAAAUGUUACUUUUAUUAGUUUGAUUUUGAUGCAAGGUAUGCAUAUUUCAGUAGGCUAUUUUUUUUUUUUACAUCAGAAGUAUGCCCUCCUUGUUGUCUUAUUUCAAUUUCUACUAAAAGUUUGUUCCUUUCUUCUUGUGCUCUGUCAAAUUGUUGAUGGUGCAACUAAUAUUUGAAAAGGUUGGGGCUGUUGGAUGGAUCAAUGUCUUGUGGCAUAUUUGUUCAUGAUGUGUUUUCACUUGUGUCAAGUAAUGACUGUAAUUUUGUUUUUUGUUUUUCAUUUUCAUUUUUCCUGAACACACACACACUCCAUCUCCAUUUACCAUGCCAUCUCUUAUUUAUGUUUCAGCAUCUGGUAACUACGUUCUAGAUGCUCUUGGGUUCAAUUUGAUAUAUCCACAAGUGAAGUGGUUAGGACCAUGAUCUGAACUCUGGAGUGAGUCACAGAUAACUGUUGGGUCACAGUUUUGCCAUCUUUUUUAUUUAUGUUGCGCGAGUAUACUCUAUGCUAUGCAAUUCUCGACGCCAAUUUGCUUUAUGUUUUGCAGCUGUACCAGCACAUAGUAUUAAGUGGAGGGAGCACCAUGUAUCCUGGUUUACCUAGUCGGUAAUAUUUCUAAUUCCUGUUUGUCUUAUGGGUUUCCUUUCUUUGUAGAUAAGGUACUUUGUUAUGAUGGAUUCCUCUUUUACAUGGGAUAUUUAGAUUUACAUUGAAUUUAUUAAAUUCAAUUUUGUAUACACAUCAUAAAUUAAUGCACUUAUGACUGGACAUUUAUGGGGUCGUUUGCUCCAUGCCCCUGUCCAACAUUCUUAACAAUUCUACAGAUGAUUAAAUGGAGAAAGAAUGCAGCAAAAAUUUUUGAGAAAUUGAUCAUUGUUUAGUCGAUUGCCUGCACCUAACUCACAUUCUUCUGGUUGCUCUAUGUUACUUUAAUGAGACGCAAUGUUCAAUUUAUGGAAACCUGGUUGGGCGGUACUUCAUGACCUUUCUGAAAUGUGAAUGAACAGCUUCUAUCAUUUCAUUUCUUUGGUUGCAUCUUUUGUAUGGCCCUGCAUUUAAGGCCAUAUUCUAGAAAACACUAAAUAAUUUUUGUAUUAGUUCAGCCUGGAGAAAGAAAUACUGGAUCGCUAUCUUGAAGUUGUUCUGAAGGGAAAUAAAGAUGGGUUAAAGAAGCUGCGAUUGCGGAUAGAAGAUCCACCACGGAGAAAGCAUAUGGUCUACCUAGGAGGUGCAGUUCUUGCUGGAAUUAUGAAGGAUGCUCCAGAGUUCUGGAUUAGCAGAGAUGAUUAUCUCGAAGAAGGAAUUACUUGUCUGAACAAGUGCGGUUAAGAAUUGAGUUUUGUAAAUCUAUAAUGUAUCAAUAUUCUUCAAAAAGACAUGCGAACCUAUAUCAAGGGUGUUUGGACUAGUAAAAAGGGCAGGGCUAUACCAUGCCUGAAAUCUAUCUUUCCUGUUGAGUAGUUGAG
This 2956-nucleotide unclassified non-coding RNA is filed under the name Hevea brasiliensis (rubber tree). The record is from RNAcentral. Lineage: Eukaryota; Viridiplantae; Streptophyta; Magnoliopsida; Malpighiales; Euphorbiaceae.